GCUUGCUGGGUUUCUCUGUG
RNAcentral lists this unclassified non-coding RNA (20 nucleotides) under Mus musculus (house mouse). RNAcentral's name for it is "oocyte_clustered_small_RNA12182". The record is from RNAcentral. Lineage: Eukaryota; Metazoa; Chordata; Mammalia; Rodentia; Muridae.